AGAUGAAGAACGUAGCGAAAUGCGAUAAGUAAUGUGAAUUGCAGAAUUCAGUGAAUCAUCGAAUCUUUGAACGCACAUUGCGCCCGCGAGUAUUCUCGCGGGCAUGCCUGUCCGAGCGUCAUUUCAACCCUCAGGGCCCGCCUGCUUGCAGGCGCGGCGCUGGUGUUGGGGAUCGGCUACCCUGCCGUCCCCCAAAUACAGUGGCGGUCUCGCUGCAGCCUCCCCUGCGUAGUAGCAACACUCGCAUGCGGAGCGCGGCGCGGCCACGCCGUAAAACCCCCGACUUUCUGAACGUUGACCUCGGAUCAGGUAGGAAUACCCGCUGAACUUAAGCAUAUCAAUAAGCGGGGA
Molecule: unclassified non-coding RNA, 351 nt
Filed under: soil metagenome
Description: partial contains 5.8S ribosomal RNA, internal transcribed spacer 2, and large subunit ribosomal RNA
Rfam family: 5.8S ribosomal RNA (bases 2-121)
Source: RNAcentral